AUGGCUUAGUUGGAAAGGAUGCCCUGUACAAUUUACACCAACCAAUCUUAGGAAAUUGUGUGUUCUUGAUCUGUCUUAUAGUGACAUCACAGAAAACUGGAUGGGUUGGAACUAUAUCAAGAUGGCAGAAACUCUUAAAGUUCUGAACUUGCGUUGGUGUUCUAAACUAUCCCGAACUCCAGACUUGUCAGCAAAUAUAAAUUUGGAGGUAUUGAUUCUUGAAAACUGUAAAAAUUUGACUACAAUUGACGCAUCCAUUGGUCAUCUUAAGAGGUUAGUCAAAUUGAUGAUGAGGGGCUGUAGUAGUCAAAUGCAUCUCCCAAACAGCAUUUGUAAGUUGAGAUCUCUCAAAAUACUUGACAUUAGAGAUG
Molecule: long non-coding RNA, 371 nt
Organism: Telopea speciosissima
Lineage: Eukaryota; Viridiplantae; Streptophyta; Magnoliopsida; Proteales; Proteaceae
Exons: 2
Source: RefSeq, a predicted model, not a curated record